This 1234-nucleotide long non-coding RNA is filed under the name Brassica napus (rape). Its description in RNAcentral is "long non-coding RNA (BNAP_LNC001643)". Lineage: Eukaryota; Viridiplantae; Streptophyta; Magnoliopsida; Brassicales; Brassicaceae. The record is from RNAcentral.
GUGAUUCUCCACUACUUUAUGUAUCCAAAUCAAGCUUCUUACAUCGCGGUUCAUCCUGGUUUGAUAAGAAUGACGAAGAAGUUUUCAUAUUCCCAAACAGAAAAAACUAUGAUCACCUGAUUUGAAAGUGGGAUAGCUUCUUCAUCCUAACUCCUAUGAGAUUUAUUCAAACUUCCUGGUGAUUCUCCACUACUUUAUGUAUCCAUAUCAAGCAUCUUACAUCCCGGUUCAUGCUGGUUUGAUUAGAAUGACGAAGAAGUUGUAAUAUUCCCAAACAGAAAAACUGGGAUCACCUGAUUUCAAAGUGGGAUAGCUUCUUCAUCCUAACUCCUAUGAGAUUUAUUCAACUUUCUGGUGAUUCUCCACUAAUUUAUGUAUCCAAAUCAAGCUUCUUACAUCGCGGUUCAUCCUGGUUUGAUAAGAAUGACGAAGAAGUUGUCAUAUUCCCAAACAGAAAAACUGGGAUCACCUGAUUUGAAAGUGGGAUAGCUUCUUCAUCCUAACUCCUAUGAGAUUUAUUCAAACUUCCUGGUGAUUCUCCACUACUUUAUGUAUCCAUAUCAAGCUUCUUAUAUCGCGGUUCAUCCUAGUUUGAUAAGAAUGAAGAUGUUGUCAUAUUCUCAAACAGGAAAACUGGGAUCACCUGAUUUUAAAGUGGGAUAGCUUCUUCAUCCUAACUCCGAUGAGAUUUAUUCAAACUUUCUGGUGAUUCUCCACUACUUUAUGUAUCCAAAUCAAGCAUCUUACAUCUCGGUUCAUCCUGGCUUGAUAAGAAUGACGAAGAAGUUAUCAUAUUCUCAAACAGGAAAACUGGGAUCACCUGAUUUGAAAGUGGGAUAGCUUCUUCAUCCUAACUCCUAUGAGAUUUAUUCAAACUUCCUGGUGAUUCUCCACUACUUUAUGUAUCCAAAUCAAGCUUCUUACAUUGCGGUUCAUCCUAGUUUGAUAAGAAUGACGAAGAAGUUGUCAUAUUCUCAAACAGGAAAACUGGGAUCACUUGAUUUGAAAGUGGGAUAGCUUCUUCAUCCUAACUCCUAUGAGAUUUAUUCAACUACCUGGUGAUUCUCCACUACUUUAUGUAUCCAUAUCAAGCUUCUUACAUCGCGGUUCAUCAUGGUUUGAUAAGAAUGACAAAGAAGUUGUCAUAUUCCCAAACAGAAAAACUGGGAUCACCUGAUUUGAAAGUGGGAUAACUUCUUCAUCCUAACUCCUGUGAGAUUUAUUCAAACUUCAU